RNAcentral lists this long non-coding RNA (13640 nucleotides) under Eucalyptus grandis. Its description in RNAcentral is "long non-coding RNA (EGRA_LNC005854)". Lineage: Eukaryota; Viridiplantae; Streptophyta; Magnoliopsida; Myrtales; Myrtaceae. The record is from RNAcentral.
UGGAGAGAGAGCUCGAGGAGAUGAGGGAGUGUUACAGGAGCGGAAGGACGAUGGAGGCCUCUUGGAGGAAGUCCCAGCUCAAAGGUUUGCUUCGACUCCUCAGGGAAAGAGAGGAGGAGAUCUUCAGGGCCCUCCAUCAGGACCUGGGCAAACAUCCUGCGGAGGCCUACAGGGAUGAGGUUAGAGGUGGCAAAAUGGGUCUUAAACCAAUAUAUGACCCAUUUAAAUCAUAAAUGGAUUAUAUAUGGGUCACUUAUUUUUUGACAAAAAGUAGUUAAAUGGGUUUAACAAUUAAAAUUUUUGAUAAGUAGGUGGGUCUUAAAUGGGUUUUAAAUGAGUUGGAUUUAGAAUCCAUUUUCACUCAAAACCUCACAAUCUCUCACUUCUCUCUUUAGCUUUAUAAAAAUACUUUUUUUUUUUUUUAUUUAUAAAAACUGAAAUUAUAAUUUUUUUUUUUAUUUUUUCUUUCUCCAUUCGCCGGCACAGGUGAGCCUCGAACUCGUCGAAUCUGGCAAGACUCGAACUCGCCAGUGUCGGGCGAGGGGCGAGGGGCGAGCUCGAGCUUGCCUGACACUGGCGAGUCUCGAGCUUACCAUAUCUAGAGAGGCAGAUGCCUUGCCGACGUUUGGCAAGGCUCGAGCCUCGCCGAUCUAGCGAGACUCGAGCUCACCGGUGUCGGGUGAGCUUGAGGCUCGCCUUUGGCGGACUGUCGGCUGUCGUCAUGGCCGAUGGCCGGCCAAAGAAGAAGAAGAAGAAAAAAGAAAAUUAUAUUUAAAAAAUAAAAAAAUAAUUAAAAAUUGAUUUAAAAAAUAAAAAUAUUUAAAUUCAAUUUUUUAAAUAAUUAAUUUAAAAAUUAUAAAAAUUGUCCAUUAAAUUUGUGUUGUAUAAAAAUAUUUUAGCCAUACAAUUUUUUUAAAUAUAUAUAAAAAAUAAGCUUUCUUAAGUUUAGUUAAAUAUGUCGGGUAUGGGUAAAAAUUUUUGCAUUGCAAUAAAUGGGUCAUAAACGGAUUAAAUGGGUUGAUUUGGAUCGGACCAUUUAUGACCCGACCCAAACCCGACUUGACCCACCCAUUUAACGGGUCUAGAUGAGGUGAACCUGGAUUACAUUGGCAGCACUUACUUCUUAAUGAGGGAUUCCUUUAUGCAAUGAAUCUCCGAAAUAUGUAGGGCCUGAGGUGACUUAAACCUGAAAUAACCUACAUGAAUACGAUCAUCUUUUUUUUCGUAUGUUGCUACGUGUGUUUGGUGCUAGUUGGCCGGUUGAGUGGGACGGUCUCCUUGUCCCAAACAUAUAAGAUAAUCAUUGAAGCUUAGGCCUUGUUUGGUUUGGCUUUCAGAAGAGACUUUGGGACUCUAAAGUCUCUUGGCCAAAUGCAAACGUGUUUGGUUCGGUUUUUUGGGCGACUUUGGCAAAUUGCAAUUGCAUCUCCAAAUAGCUCUAAGGGCCUUUAGCUCAAUGUAAGGUUUGAGGUACCUUGGGAAGUUGUAUUUUGAGAAUGCAAAUAGCUCAGCUAUUAUUCAUCUUCUUCGACUUCUCCAAUGGACCGCUGCUGAUUGGAGGUCGACGACCACCAGCCAAGGGGUGGUGCGUGCCGGCGAUCGUCGCUUGAGGGUUGCCUGACCCCAGCGACCGUCGCCGAACCUUAGGUGAUGUACGGAUCGCGCGACCCAAGCGACUGAUGGCUUGAAUUGCGCGACCCAAGUGGCUGCCUGAGGUCGUGCAACCACAGACUAUCGGCCCCAGUUGUCAGCCGCCUGAGGUUGCACGACCGACGCUUGGCGUCAUGCGCUUGAGGUGGGCAACCUCAGGCAACAGCAACUGGGGGCGAUUUGGCCGUCCGGUUUUGUUUUUUUAAUUUAACAAAAGUCAAUUCCGAACUACCGCCUGCGGUGGCCUAGCUGGAUAAGAGCUCUCAUGAUGUCUACCCAGGACGGAGGGGUUCAAAUCCCGCAGGAUGCACGGGAUCUUAAGCGUGACGUCAGGGUGGUGGGUCAUCUGCUAGCGUCAAGGUCCUCUGCUAGCGUCAAGGUCCUCUGCUAGCGUCGCCCCAAGGUUUACCCACUAACUACUGGUUGUACGGGUUCCCUGGGAAUCCAAAAAAAAAAGUCAAUUCCGAACGCAAUUUUUACCAAACAAUAUAUUUUGCCCAAAGUCAUUUCACAAUGCACUUCAAAACUACAAUUUACCAAACACUAUUUGCAUUUUCACAAACCUCUUUAGCUUGAAGGUAUUUGCAUUUUCCCAAUGUCAUUUGCCCAAAGCUGAACCAAAUGGGUCCUUAGAUACUGAGAGAAGUGCAAAUUUAGCAGAUAAUUUGCACCCAAGAUUUGAGUGAAGAUGACGAACACGCUAGCAUUCGAUCAACGUAAAAAUUUGGGAUAAAUUUAUCAGUAAUCACAUAGUGUUCACUUAAAGAUGUGACAAAGUGGAUACUUAAAGUAGCCUAAACUGAAAUAUUCUCAACUAUAAUCAAGACAAAUUACCGAACGAGAACGGUGACAGGUUCUUUUAGUGUAUCAUCUGGGUUUAUGGAACAAAACUUGGAAACGGGACCCUUAGCGGGACUAAUGUAGUGUCACUGCAUCUAACAGCUUGAGUUUUUUGGUGGAGAUUAUGUGUAUCGUUUGCCAACAAUUGUUUACGUCCCCUCGACAUUUUUUAGGGUUUCUCUUCGUGGCUUUGCAUUUGUGGAGUUCGUCCUUAGAGGCGUCGUUAUGUUCACCGACAUUUUGAGGAAUGACCAUUCAUUUACGGUUACAUCUGCAGAUAGGAAGCUUGAUAAAGUCUGUGAACUAUGCAUUGGACGGCUUGAAACGAUGGAUGUCCGGCAAUAAGGUGAGGGCUUGCACUUUUUUGCUCAAGAUGAAUGCUGAGUGUGCACUUGGAGAGCGUUCCUUGUAACAUUCACAGAACGGAACAUGUCGCUAGUUAUAUAUGGUGAUAAAUGAUAGUUCGAACAGCUAAUCCUAGCAUUCCGACAGGCUCUGGGGUUCCUCCUGAAUUACAUCCACAAAAUCAAACCAAUAUGCCUAUUAUUAUACUGCAGAUCAUACAACAUGAUAACAUUCUCUUAAGAUUUUGUAUAUGAUUGAUAGGCUAAACUGCCAAGACUCGCAUUACUCACUACUGCGAAGAUUCUUCCCGAGCCUCUUGGUCUAGUGCUGGUAAUCUCAUCCUGGAACUUUCCAAUCGGUGAGGAUAGUAGUUUUUGGAAGGUUAACUUAUGAAGGCUGAUUAAUUUUUGGCUGGGUGAUAUGUCUUGGUUAUCAAUCAGUCUCUGUGCCUGAUAAUAUUUGGCCAUAUGUUUAUGUUUAUAGGACUGUCCUUGGAACCGCUGAUAGGAGCGCUAGCUGCAGGCAAUGCCGUGGUUUUGAAACCUUCAGAGUUGGCUCCGGAAUGCUCUUCUCUUCUAGCCAAUGCUAUUCCUCAUUAUUUAGACGACAAAGCUGUGAAAGUCAUUCAAGGUGGUCCUGGCAUCGGAGAACGACUUCUGCUUCAAAAAUGGGACAAAAUAUUCUUCACAGGUUCAAAACACCCUUGUUUGAAGAAUCUCUCCUCCAAUAUUCAUGUUUGACUCAAACCCGUCCCAUGGAUGGUUUAGCAUUUUCGGUUUCUGAAAUUCGUAGGGAGUGCCCGGAUAGGACGGAAAGUCAUAGCGGCAGCAGCGGAGCAUCUAACGCCCGUUACUCUGGAGCUUGGUGGAAAAUGCCCUGCCGUGAUAGACACUCUCUCCAGCUCUUUCGACAGAAAGGUGAUUUUGCUUUUCUUGAUUCCAGAAUGACCUUGCAAGUUAUCUCUUUCAGUUCCUUUUGUCCUAUUAAUUAUCAGGUGGCUGUGCAACGAGUUCUUGGGGCGAAAUUUAGUUCCUCAGCAGGACAAAUAUGCAUUGGAGUGGACUAUGUCCUAGUGGAGAAGAAAUUCAGUUCCUCUUUGGUAUGAUAAUGAUGAUGAUCUGUUAUUUCCUUCUUAGGUGUUCGAUGUUUUAUUUGCUUGGCGAUACUGAUGUUAUCUUCCUUGCAUUCUUUCCUAUUCUAUUCAGGUCGAAUUGAUGAAGAUGAUGAUGAAGAAGAUGUUUGGAGAAAAUCCAAGGGAGUCACAAAGUGUUGCGAGAAUCGUGAAUAAGCAUCAUUUCUUAAGAUUGCGGAGCCUUUUACUCGAUCCUCUGGUCAAAUCUUCUAUCGUCUACGGGGGAUCAAUGGAUGAAGAGAGCCUGUAAGCCGUCUCUUCCACGUCGUCUUUUCUGCUCCAACUCGAACUCUUGAAUGAAGAAACUUUGUGAUUAAUGAUGCUAUCUAAGUACAGGGAAAAUUCGACCCCAAAAAAAAAAGAGGGGAAAAAUUUGCCUACAGAUGAUCAAUUUCAAGUGCAGUGAUUAUCUAAGUACAUAUGCAGGUUCAUUGAGCCGACGAUCUUGAUGGAUCCUCCACUUCAAGCGGCAAUCAUGAUGGAUGAAAUCUUCGGCCCAUUACUUCCCAUUGUAACCGUAAGAUGCGUUAAACCCGAAAAAGCAAUUCAUCAAUUUGUUUUAUGCCAUUUCUUCAAAAAUCAAGUGGUCGUCGAGCAAUCAGUGGCCAGCUGAAUACCAAUGCUGGUGCAAUCUGGUAUGACGUUAUUUUGUUUUGACAGCUGAACAAGAUAGAAGACAGCAUCGAGUUCAUAAACUCGAGGCCUAAGCCGUUAGCCAUCUAUGUCUUCACUAAAGACGAGCCGCUGAGGAGGAGCAUGGUAUCGAAGACAUCGUCUGGGAGCAUCGUAUUCAACGAUGCAAUCGUUCAGGUUUACCUCCAAUCCUAUAUAACAUCUACAAAUACCUAAGCUACCGGUGCAUUUUUGUCGGUCUUUAAAGAGCAAAUUAAGCAUCUUUUGCUGGGGCUUGUAGUUGUCUACGUUAAUGUUUCUCAGUAAGGUCUUAGAAAUGUUAACGAAGAGACUUUUUCGUUCGAUUUGCGUAUAUGUCAGUGUCUAGUCGAUACUCUCCCAUUCGGUGGAAUUGGUGAGAGCGGGAUGGGCAGAUAUCACGGGAAGUUCUCCUUCGACACCUUCAGCCACCAAAAAGCAGUAAUGAGAAGAAGCUUCCUCGUCGACGUCUGGUUCAGAUUCCCGCCUUGGAACGAUCACAAGCUGCAGCUCUUCCGGUCGUCAUAUCACUAUGACUACCUCGGGAUCGUUUUGACCGUGCUGGGCCUGAAGAGGACGAACAGAGCCUCGAAAGGCAUCUAGACAUCUAACCGAGCAUGCCUGCCAUGUCCUAUGAAGCAUCCUCGUUAAUCUAAAGAAGAUAAUUCCAUAUAUGGCAUCAACUGGCUGCGUUUGCAAAGCUUCCAGCGUCCGUCACUCCCGUAUCUUUCACUGAAUAUGUAUGGUGCAACCUUCUACCACUUGAGAAUUAUGAAGAGAUUGCUUUAUACAUGCGCGAGGAAGAGGGUUGCUUUGCGAUAGAUUCAGCUUUCUUUAGAAGAUCAUUUCACGUACCAAACUCCUGCUGUCUCAAAGAUCACAAACCAGAUCCUCUAGUUCCGAGUUCAUGUACUAUUCCACAUUGCGAAAGCACGUGUUCAUCGAGUUUAGCAAUAGAUUGACACCUCUGAUCUGGUUCAAUGCAGGAAUCGUAAGUCUCCAUGUCGUUCCUUGCGCUCGGACUUCGAUCUUACUGUACCUAGUAAGUCUCAGUCGGAAACGGAGACAUCCGUUUGAACCUGAGCCUAGGAACCCUCAUCAGGAAAAUCAGUAACCAGUGAUGUUGAAAAAUAUUAGAUGACAUGAAAAUAAUGAUAUAUUUAUUGAAAAAGAUUAGAAGAUAAAAAUAAAUGUUAAGAGGCGUGCAAGCAAUGUUCUUAAGAUAAAUUUGCCCUUUGGAGUAUGAAACUCGAUUUGUAUAUCCUCUCAAACCUUCUUCUAUAUUAUUUUGUGCUGAAUAUUAGAAGCAACAAAAUAAUGUUAUGUGUAUAACCAAACAAGGAAAUGAUAGAUACGUAACCGGACAGGAAAAGAGAAAUAAGAAUAUUCUGGUUUUAAAUUAUUGAUAUCACUUUUCAAUUAUGUUCAUAGUAAUAAAAUAUAGGUAAAAGAAAAAGAGAGCCGUUAAGAAACAGUUAUGAAUAAAUUGGUAAUUGAAUAAGAAAAUAACCCUUCUAUAGCUAUUAUAAAAUAAUGAAGAGUUUAUGUAGAAAUAAAUGAAACAUUAGAAAGCCAUCAUAUCACUGUUAUAUAGUUGUUACACGGUUGUUACAUGACCGCUAAAUAACAGUUAUAAAAUGUAACAAAAUUGUUUUAUAUUAAAUGGCACAAAAAUUGUUGUAAUUUGAUAAUGGUAAAAAAUUGUUACAAAAAUUAGUAGCUUACAAUUUUUCAAAAAUACCAAAAUAUCCAACAAUCCCCCACAUAUUUGAAAAAGUUUUGAAAAUAAAAAAUAUAAUAAUUGUGGGUUAUUGGAGAGUAAUGUAUCAAAAUUUGUGCUUGUUAGCUUAUGAAGCAACCCUAAAAUGAAUGAAAUAUAAUUCAUGAAAUUAUUGGUGAAGUUUGAAACUUCUAUGAACUAAUAAUUUUAAUAAUUUCUUUUUGUGAAUUAUAAUUUUCACUAAUUACAUUACACUCCCACAAAUUUUACUAUUCAAUCCAAUUUUGCGCUAAUAGGCCAUGCGCGUGCUUGGUUUAUGCUCUAGAGACUAUUGCCAAUAAUUCUCAUAGGCUCCACACUUAUAUUGGUGAUUCCAUCAAGUGUAUAUAUCCUACAAUUUAAUACACCACUAAUAAUGGUUAUGGAAUUUCAUUAAGAGCCUAGCUUAACCGUUUUUUUCUUGCAAUUUUGCACUAUUAUCACCUUAAUAGGGACACGAUUUUUUUUUUUUAAUGGUGCACUAGAUCAACAAAUAUUUUGUUAUUAUCGAAUCAACAUUCAUUCCUCCGUCCAGGUUCGCUCGAGAUCUCACAUUUCCGCAGUCACUCGGCUCAAUUUCUUGCGACAGCCAACGGAAUUCAACCCAAAACUUAAAAGUCCAUCAAGAGCAGAAUGCAAUGCGAGAUUUACGAAGCUUCCCCGCGAAUGGAAAAGCUAGAAAGUCGCAGAAGCAAGACAUGGACAGCUCUGAUCCGAGCUGCAAAACUGCAAGUGGAAUGCAGGAAGACGAAGGGAGCAACGAUGCAUACCAUCUUUCGAUGCAGAGAUGCCAGAGCGAGUUCGUUAGGCGACAAGUUCGUUGCUCAUGUCCGUUUCAAAGAGAGAGAGAGAGAGAGAGAGAGAUGGGAAAUUCUAAGUUUUCCAUUCUAUGUCACGUCCUCAAACUAUUACAAAAAUUCUGGUGUCAAAAUCAUAAAAUCUUGCUUGGUGCAAGUAAAAUAAGAAAAGCAUUGGUAAAUUUUGAUAGUUAAGUAUUAACCGGCAAUUUAUUUAGGAUGUGUUUAUUUCACGAAAAUAAUUGAUUCGGAAAAUAUUAUUCUAAAUAUGAUCUUUUGUAUUGUUUGAAAAAAUGAGCCCAUGAAAAAUAUUUUCAUUAACCUAAUAAUUUUCAUGGACGAUGAAAAUAUUUCUCAUUCAUUCAUUUCCGUGACUAAUAUAGACCGUCACUUUUAGGAUAAAGUUUUUCAAUUCAUUCAUUUUCUAAGAAACAAACGGAGCCUUAGUCUAUAAUUUGUUGAUAAAUUAUUGAUACUCUUUAUAAAAGCACUAAUAUUUAUUUUAUUUCAUUUUUAAAUUACCAAAUAAUUGCCGACGUAGCUCAUGUUAAGGUUACUGAACUUUUCUUUAGAAAUGAGAAAAUUGUCCAAAAAGUGUUAAAUCUAUUGCGUGAUGGUCAAUUAGGUCACAAACCUUCAAAUUGUAUCAAUUUUAUCAUAAAUCUUUUGAUGAUUUAUCAAUUUAAUAUAAACCUUUAAUUGUAUUGAUUUAGCGAUAAAUUUUUUGACAAUUUGCUAAUUUAGUCAUAAAUUUGUUUAGACUUACCAAUUUAGUCAUUUCAACCAAUUUUAUUAGGAAAUCACUACCUUGAGGUCUAGUCAACACCGACAUGUGACGAGUUAGUAUUAAUGUAAACAAUUUUUGUAAUUUUUUUGUUUAAAUUUUGUUCUUUUCUUCUUCUUUUUUGGCUAACUCUAGGCUCGCAAAGUUGUCAAUUGACCCUUGCCCUCACCCCAAUCUAGGCGAGGGACCAAUGCCAUUGUCUGUGGUUGGCAAGGGCGAUGACACCCUCAUCAAAACUAGGUCAGAGUUCAAAAAAAAGAAAAGAAAAAAAAUUAUUCAAGUCAACACUAGUUGUGCCCCCUAAGAUACCACUAACUAAACAGCCAUGUCAGUAAUUUUCGACCAAAAUUGGUCGGGAGGACUGAAUUGGCAACUCAUUAAAAUAUUCUAGACUAUAUUGAUAAAUUGUUAAAAUAUUUAGAACUAAAUUGAAGUUAAAAUUUUUCAAAUUAUAUUAAAUAGUUGAAAUGUGUAUGAUUGAAUUGAUCAUUUCACUUACCAAUAUUUGCCUCCUUGUUUUGAAAUUAUAAACUCUUUCAAUAAUUUAUGGACAUUUACUUGUUAGACUUAUCAAUGUGUUGUUAGUUCUCAUGGGAAAAUUACCGACGUUAAAUUGAGGGUGUAGCAACUUUUCAUAGACUAAGUUACCAAAUAGUGAGUUUUUUUUUUUUUUGGUUGUUACCAAAUAGUGAGUUGCAAAGAUUGUUUUGAAGAUACCAAUUUUCAAUAAUUUACCAACAUUCGUCUGCGAAGCUUACCAAUAUAUUAAAAUUACUGAUGGAACUACCAACUUUUGAGUUCACUUACCCUCGUUUAAUUGAUUGCUUGAAAUUACCAACCGUUCCAAUAAUUUCUUACAUUUAUUUGCUAAACUUAAGUUACUAACUCUUUUUAUAGAUUAUUAACUACUAUCUGAGUCAUUAACCCAAUGCAGAUUUUAUCGUUUGACAAUCAAUGACUAUCGGUUAAGUUGUGUCAAUAUAAAUUAGUAAAUUAUCGAGCAGGUGGUAAUUUCAAAGCUAUCAAAUAAACGUUAGUAACCAAUUUAAAUAAGAGUUGAUAAUUUAAAAUAAAUGUUGGCAUCUUAAGCUUGCAAAUAAAUCUUGGUACAUUGGAGUAGUUGGUAAUACAAAGAAAGUUGGUAAUUUCACAUGAGAGUUAGUGACUUUAAUACAAUGGUAAAUUCCCAAAUAAAUGUUAGUAGAUAAUUGAAACAAUUGGCACUUUUGAAACGUUGAUGUAAUUUCAAACAAAAAAGAAAAUUGAUGUGAAAGUUGGUAACUAACUUAAACAAUAGUUCGUGAUUUUGUGUAAAAGUUAGUAAAUUAAGUUUCGAAAUUAAAUGUUGGUAAACGGUUGAAGUUGUUGAUGAUUUUGAAGGCGGUUGGUAAUUUUGUAUAAUAGUACUUUAACACAAUGGUAAUUUCAACGAACACAAAUUUGUAAAUUCUACGAGCUUUGGUAAUUUUCAACAUAAUUGAAACAAACGUCAAUAUGUGGACUCAAAUAAGAGAAAAAAUUACCGGAAAAGUUUUAAAUCUAUUAUACGACAGCCAAUUCAGACCUAAAUAUUUUAAUUUAGUCAAUUUAAUUCUAAAUCGUUUGACAAUAUUCAAAUGAUGUUAUGUCAAUCAUUUUUGACUGAGAAUCAUUGACAUGGACGCUGGUGAUUUUGUGUGGCAUGAUUGGCACUAACAUGAGCAAUUUUUUAAUAUAUUUUGUUGUUUUAUUGUUUUUUUUUUUUAAACUCUAGGCCAAUGAGGUUGCCAACCGACCUCUUCAACCUUCGCUUGUGGUUGGCAAGGGCAUUAUUAGGGCCCUGCUAACCACAAAUCCAACUAAGGAAAGAAGAAAAAGAAAAGAAAAGAAUGAAAAAUUCUUCUAAAAAUUACAAAAAAUAUUCAUGUAAGUGUCGACUUUUUUAUGUAAUACAACUAGCGUCCAUGUCAGCGAUUCAUACCAAAAUUGGACAAAAGAGCUAUAUUGACAAAUCCUUAACUUUAACACGUUGAUAAGUUGUACUGAUAAUUUAUUAGUAAACUACUGAACAUCUGAUUAUUUCAAAAAUCAAACAAAUAGGGUAAUGACUCAAAUAAGAGUUGCAAAUUUCCCGUAAGAGUUUGUUAUAACUUUAACAAGUUGGUAUAUUUAACAAAUAAAAAUCGUUGAUAGAUUAUUGCAAUGGUUGGUAAUUUCAAACAAUUAAAUAAUUAUUUGUAAGUGGACUCAUAUAAAAGUUAGUAAUUUUUUUUUAAUAAAAGUUAAUAACUAUAACACUUUGUUAAAUUUAAUAGAUAAAAGUUAGUAAAUAAUUGGGCGCGUUGAGUCUUUCAAACAAUCAAAUUAACAUUGGUAAGUAUACUCAAAUAAGAGUCUGUAAUUUUUUUUGUGAGAAUCAGUGACUUAAACAAGUUGAUGAGUUGCACAAAUAAAUAUUGGUAAAUUAUUAAAAUAGACGACAAUUUAAAACAACCAAACAACUGCUGAUACUUGCAUAGAAUGGUGGUAAUUUACUAGUGCAUUACAGGCUAAAUAAGUUAUCAAUUGAAAAUUUGUUACCAAUGGAUUUUGAUAGUUACCGGCACUCUUCAUGUUUCAUCAACACGGACUAAUGUUCCAAUGUUUUGCCCAUGGAAAAAUAGAGUUGUCUCAUACACUCUCUCUUGGUAGAGUAAGGAUGGCGAUGAUAAAAAAUAUCAAUUGCAUUAUGAUUGACAUGAUUAAUCAAUCAAGCGUGUUACAUUUCCUUAUUAAUUCGUUAUGUCAUAUGUCUUUACUAUUUAUGUAAUCAUUAUUGUUAAAUUAUGUUUCGAGUUUGGAUUUAUACACACAAAACAUUUACAUAUUGUAACAAGAAAGCAUGUCCGCGGAGCAUUUAAUGAGAAGUGGCGCGUGAUAGGAGCCGAAAGAAUCCAGCCCUAGAUAUCAGCUUCACGUUGGAAAUGAUGGCCACGAUCCAUGGGUUGACUUUUGUGACCCUUCUCAUUUGACAGCAUGAAAUCAUUCUGAAGAGUUUUUUUUUUAACAAACAUUCUGAAGAGUUGACCGUCCGAAUUUUUCUACGUCAUUAAAUGCACGCACAUGGCCAUGUGCGUGCAUUCCCAUAGAAACUGGCGAGCAUUUGCUGCUUCAGAAGCCUAUCUUGUAGGCGCCGAAUCCUCUCUCUCUCUUCUUGGUCAACUUUUGUGGACUUCUUUUGUCUUUUUGUGGAUAGACAAAGAAAGAAGAGGGAAGCAGAAGCUAUUCUCCUCGUGCCAGUGCAUGAUGGUCAUACGCUCACAGGCCAACAUUAACUGCAUGGAGGCAUAUGCUUUGAAGAUCAGCACGGUGUUGACAUUUCUGGAGUACAAUUUUGAUUUGUUUCCUUCCCUUCCACCGAUAAAAGGAGAGAGCUUCUGAGGACGAGGCAGCAAUGAGAGGAAAGAGCUCGAGAGAGAGUGAGAGGCGUGAGCUCAUAGAGGUUUGUGUGGAGUUGAGUCCAUUUGAUUGAGUUGUUAUAUACGGUGGGUAUUGGGUAUAAAAUAGAGCUGAGAAACAUAUGAGUGCAUGAGUUAUUGUAAUUUUACAAUUCUCUAAUUUAUAGUAAGUUAUUUUGCUGACUCCCCCUAUGGACGUAGAUUCCAAUAUUCAAACCGAAUCACGUAAAUUUCUGGUGUCUUUUUAUUGUUCAUCGUUUUAUUUAUUUCGAUUUCUAUAGCUUCCGAUAUAAUUGCAAAAUUUCGAUCCGCUUCCGCUGCGCCACCAAUUCUAACAAUCACAUCUCAUGAACUAGCUUUGCUUUUCAAAACAUUUUGACUACGUUCACAUAAGAUCACUAGUAAUUAUAGUUAAUGUAUGUCCAAAAACAUUGUGAGAGCCUGUAAUCAAAGAAAAAUCAUAGUUUUCAGUACAUCAUAUUAAUGCGUCUUGUAAGUUCCAUAAUCGGUGUUUUGAAAAUCGAAAUUUUCUUGGUAAGUUAUUAUUGGCCAUAUCGAGUGUGGAAAUAGUGCAGGGUGCGUGUGCAUAGGAGCAGCUGCAGAGAUUAUCUCCAAUAAAGAGAGAGAAGAAGAAGAAGAAGAAGAAGAAGAAGAAGAAGACAGCUUCUUCCCAUGUAUGCGAUGAUCUGAUCUUCAGGCAAUUGUCCAAUUGAAACCAUGACUCAAUCCUGAGUUCAUUUAUACCUCUCGCCUUGUACUUCCGACUUAAGCAUUAAUCAACGACAACGCAUCUUCACUCAGAGUGUAUUACCGUUACGUAAAAUACUUCAUGGGUCGAAUUCACAUCGGUCCCUUGGGAUUUAAUUUUCGUACCCGGCCGCAUUAAAUACAUGAUAUGGUCCAAAAAAAAUUAGGUAAUUCGUAACUCUGAUGUGGACCUCAUAGUUAGCGAAUACAUAGUACGGGCAACAACGGCCAUUUAAUCCCAGUGGACAAUGGACAGCCAUCCAUGCUUGUUUAGGGAAGAGAGAAGGGGGGGGGGGGGGGGGUCCAAUUCUAUCCUGUCUUCGUUUACACCUGAUGGGAAUUAUGAGUUGUUGGCGUGCUGCAUCGGUAGAGUGAAGAGCUUGUCUAGGACCCUUUGGGAAAACUUGAAUUGGAUGGAGUCCCUCAUUCAAUGUUAGUACGAUGGUUCCUGUUCAAAAUGACAGUAGGAAAACACUACUUUUACUAUUAAGAUUAGGACAACAGUCCCUGUUUAAAACACCGGUAAGAAAACAUUAUUUUGAAGAUUAGAAUUAUGAAUUGACAUAUCGAGGUUAAGAUUACUUGUGUAUACAAAGAAUCUAUCCCGAUUGUUCCAAUCACCUCGUGUAUAGGUUCCUUUUGUUUAAACAUCUUUGAUGUGGCAUUGUCGAAUUGCUUCGUUAACAUUUUCUCUGAUUGCCACCCCUCCCGUUUGGCCGAGUUAGAAGCUCCGAGGAUGACCGAAUGAUGCCUGGUAACCUUUUUACUUAGUGCAAAUCACUGGUUCUUCACAGCGCAGCUCGCUUUCACGUCUCGGUCUCGUCUCUCUCUCGAACUAAGAUCUGAUUGGAAGUCGAGCCACCUUAAAUACGCACCUACAUCUACCAUCAUCAAGAUCAGACGACAGCGACGGACGGACAGGCCAACGCGAAAUGGACGAAGCUACACGAACACCAAGGCCGGGCAAAGUACAGUGCCACACCGGGUCGAGCCGUCCUUGUCAUGAAUUUACUCUGACCGCCUUCAGCGCCCUUCCUCGCGUUUCUUUCGCCCAGACGUACAUCAUGCAUGUGAAGAACGGAGAUGGUGCAGGAUGCGACCCGGAUUUUCUUGCUUUCUUUUUCUUUUCUCGUCUCGUCCUUUCCGUGCCCUUUUGGGAUGGAGAAAUUGAAGACGGUCAGUAGGGGUAAGUAGCAUUUCCAUUUAUAAACAGACCCUCCAAGAAGCCAAGAAGAACAGCACACAGGCCUCAGUUCAUCGAGAGAGACAUGGAAGAGGAAACUGAGGCCCUGGAGGAGAUGGAGAGAGAGCUCGAGGAGAUGAGGGAGUGUUACAGGAGCGGGAGGACGAUGGAGGCCUCUUGGAGGAAGUCACAGCUCAAAGGGUUGCUUCGACUCCUCAGGGAAAGAGAGGAGGAGAUCUUCAGGGCCCUCCAUCAGGACCUGGGCAAGCAUCCUGCGGAGGCCUACAGGGAUGAGGUGAACCCGGAUUACAUUGGCGGCACUUCCUUCUUAAUGAG